Molecule: ribosomal RNA, 253 nt
Filed under: uncultured bacterium
Lineage: Bacteria
Description: partial 16S ribosomal RNA
Rfam family: Bacterial small subunit ribosomal RNA
Source: RNAcentral
UACGUAGGGGGCAAGCGUUGUCCGGAAUCAUUGGGCGUAAAGCGAGCGUAGGCGGCCCGAUAAGUCUGCUGUGAAAGUCAACGGCUCAACCGUUGAAAGCCGGUGGAUACUGUCGGGCUAGAGUUCGGAAGAGGCAAGUGGAAUUCCUGGUGUAGCGGUGGAAUGCGCAGAUAUCAGGAGGAACACCCAUAGCGAAGGCGGCACUCUGGGACGGUACUGACGCUGAGACGCGAAAGCGUGGGGAGCGAACAGG